AGCUUCUCUCUGCUGGACUGGAGAGUCCAAACUGCAACCUGGAGACUCUCAGCUUGUCAGGCUGUCUGAUCUCAGAGGAAGGCUGUGCUUCUCUGGCCUCAGCUCUGACCUUUAACCCCUCCCAUCUGAAAGAGUUGGACCUGAGCUACAAUCAUCCAGGAGACUCAGGAGUGAAGCUGCUGUCGGCUGGACUGAAGGAUCCAGACUGGAGACUGGAAACUCUCAGGGUGGAGCCUGCUGGAGGCCGAUGGUUGACACCAGGUCUGAGGAAGUAUUCCUGUCAACUCACCAUCGACACAAACACAGUGAGCAGAAAACUUGUAGCGUCUGAAGACAACAGUAAGGUGAUAUGUAUGGGGGAUUUUCAGCCAUAUCCUGAUCAUCCAGACAGAUUUGAUUGUGCUCAGCUUCUGUGUGGAACUGGUCUGACUGGUCGCUGUUACUGGGAGGUCGAGUGGACAGGAGGAGUUAAUAUAUCAGUGAGUUACAGAAGAAUCAGGAGGAAAGGAGAAAGUACAGACUGUAGGUUUGGAAAGAAUGGUCAUUCCUGGAGUCUGAGCUGCUCUGAGGGCGGUUACUACGUCUGUCACAAUAACAGAAGAACACAUCUCUCCUCCUCCUCUGUCUCUAACAGAGUAGCAGUGUAUGUGGACUGGCCUGCUGGCAUUCUGUCCUUCUACAGAGUUUCCUCUGAUUCACUGAUCCACCUCCACACCUUCAACACCACAUUCACUGAACCUCUGUAUCCUGGAUUUACAGUCUGCUUUCCUAAUUCUUUAGUUUAUCUGUGCUGAGUUGAGUCUAAAGAGUCUCCUCUGACUCAGAAACACGUUUUCAGAUUCAUGGAUUCAAUCUGUUUGUUUUUGACUCUCUUCUUAAUGAUUUCUUGGAAACUUAUUCCAGGAUUAUUCUGGAAUUAACGUAAUGUUUUUCUGUAUGUUUCCAGUAAAAUCUUCACACUGAAUAUCAUGA
Poecilia latipinna (sailfin molly) is the source of this 972-nucleotide long non-coding RNA. RefSeq lists it as uncharacterized. The transcript is spliced from 4 exons. Lineage: Eukaryota; Metazoa; Chordata; Actinopteri; Cyprinodontiformes; Poeciliidae. The record is from RefSeq and is a predicted model, not a curated record.